UUCCGGCGAACUUCCGACGGUUUUCCGAUAAACUCUCGGAAACCAUUCUGCGGACUCCCGGCAAGCUCCUAGACUUCACGAUUUGGUCUUGACGAGUUCCAACGAGCUUCUUCGGCAAGCUCCGAUCUUUCUCGGUGAGCUCCGCGAACUUCCAACGAACCUUUCGGCGAGCUUCCGAAAAACCCUUCGGCAAGCUCCCUACUCAUUCUCGGCUAGUUCCGGCAGCAUUCCCGACGAACCUUCGGACUUCCGUCGAACUCUCGAACUCGCAAUGAAUCCUUCAUGCUU
This 288-nucleotide long non-coding RNA is filed under the name Musa acuminata (dwarf banana). Its description in RNAcentral is "long non-coding RNA (MACU_LNC000684)". Lineage: Eukaryota; Viridiplantae; Streptophyta; Magnoliopsida; Zingiberales; Musaceae. The record is from RNAcentral.